GAGACCGAGAGAGAGGGAGAGAAACAGAGUGCUUGAGAGAAGAGGCGUGCGGUGGGCUAGCCACCGUUUGUGGCGGACGACGGCGCCGGGGCGGGUGGGUCACGAUCCAACGCCAGUGAGGCAAAAAUCUUGGAGUUCUGGCAUUUUCUCGGUAGCCAAGCAGUAGAAAAUCCAUUUUUUUUUGGGUAAGUAUAAUUUUUAGGCUUGAUUUCUUGAUUUUUGUUUUGAUUUGGGUUGUUUUGUGAAGAUUUUCGUUAUUCCCACUUAUUCCGGUUCUAUAAUGGCAAAAAUCAACCACCAAAACAGUUGGAAUUGAUCUUCCAGCAAUUGAAGUCCGAUUUGAGCACCUAAACGUUGAUGCAGAAGUUCAUGUAAGGAGGCAGAGCCUUGCCUUCCUUCUUUAACUUCAUUAUAAACAUCCUAGAGAUGUAUGAAAUGUAAUGGCAAGGGAAAGAUAUAUGCUCUGCCUAUAGAGGUCAAUGUUUUGUAUUCAUUUAUAUAGUCAUCAUAGGUUUUGGUACACAAUUCAGAAUAUUUGUCUUCCGUAAUUUUCUUGAGUUGUAUGGCAUCUGGUAAAUCGAAGCUCAUAGAUGGAGAGACAUGCAUUUUUAUAACUACGUGGAGAAUUUGUCUGUUGAUAACUGAACUUAAUUAGUUGCUCAUUCUUUACAAGGUCUUUUGCUGUAUUAGAUCAGACAAUAGUUUAGUCUUAUUUGGACUUGCUCAGUGUAGCAAUGAGACAUGCAUAAAGAAAAAAACUUGGAUUGA
Molecule: long non-coding RNA, 768 nt
Organism: Alnus glutinosa
Lineage: Eukaryota; Viridiplantae; Streptophyta; Magnoliopsida; Fagales; Betulaceae
Exons: 3
Source: RefSeq, a predicted model, not a curated record